GGUGGGGGAAGCUCAUCAGCGGGGUCACAUGCUGAGUGCUCCUCACUCCCCCAAGCCCCUGGAAAGAUCUGAGACUGGGGCCUCCAGCAGCACUAACCGGGUCCUCCCGGAGCAGGGAGGUGAGUUCCCAGAGAGCAGGGCUCCACGUGUGGGCAGACUUUCAAGCUCAAGAGCUCUUACAGAGGAAAGAGAGAUAUUGCAAGGGCCAUUUCCCUCCAUAACUCUCUUGCUACC
Molecule: RNase P RNA, 234 nt
Filed under: Neotoma lepida (desert woodrat)
Lineage: Eukaryota; Metazoa; Chordata; Mammalia; Rodentia; Cricetidae
Description: Nuclear RNase P
Rfam family: Nuclear RNase P
About the family: Ribonuclease P (RNase P) is a ubiquitous endoribonuclease, found in archaea, bacteria and eukarya as well as chloroplasts and mitochondria. Its best characterised activity is the generation of mature 5'-ends of tRNAs by cleaving the 5'-leader elements of precursor-tRNAs.
Source: Rfam by way of RNAcentral